UCGAUAACGAACGAGACCUUAACCUGCUAAAUAGUUACGCGAACUUUGGUUCGUGGCCAACUUCUUAGAGGGACUAUUGAUGUUUAAUCAAUGGAAGUUUGAGGCAAUAACAGGUCUGUGAUGCCCUUAGAUGUCCUGGGCCGCACGCGCGCUACACUGAUGAAGUCAGCGAGUUUAUAACCUUGGCCGGAAGGUCUGGGUAAUCUUUUGAAACUUCAUCGUGCUGGGGAUAGUCCAUUGCAAUUAUUGGACUUCAACGAGGAAUUCCUAGUAAGCGUGGGUCAUCAGCUCGCGUUGAUUACGUCCCUGCCCUUUGUACACACCGCCCGUCGCUAAUACCGAUUGAAUGGAUAC
Molecule: ribosomal RNA, 354 nt
Filed under: Eukaryota sp.
Lineage: Eukaryota
Description: SSU rRNA
Rfam family: Eukaryotic small subunit ribosomal RNA
Source: RNAcentral